AGGCUGUGUGGCAUUCUCUACUCGCUGCUGCUUUGUCCAUAAUCAAUGUCAUCUGCUUACAAACAACAUUAUGUGGUUUUUAAAAAAAAUCAUAGCUGACAAGCCUGCGUAUCUUCUAUGGCUUCUGAAAAGCAACCUGGGUCCUUCUGUUCCCAUGCAUCAACCUCAGUUACUCAGAGGCAGUGACACUGCACUUAUGGCACUGCUGGUGUGCAUGAUGGCAUCCUUUUGCAAGGGUAACUGGAAGACCUUGUCUGAGCAUUGUCCUAGUUUAUGGGAGAGAUUAAGUCCUGUGUUCCAUAAAAAAACCCCAAACAAACAAAAUUAUAGAGCUUCAUGUGUUUGAUAAAAGAGGACUAUAGAGAAGCCUCAUUUCUCCUCACUUGCUGCAGGAGGUGAUAGGGGAGAG
RNAcentral lists this long non-coding RNA (409 nucleotides) under Crocodylus porosus (Australian saltwater crocodile). Its description in RNAcentral is "lncRNA (ENSCPRG00005014842.1)". The record is from RNAcentral. Lineage: Eukaryota; Metazoa; Chordata; Crocodylia; Crocodylidae.